Molecule: ribosomal RNA, 407 nt
Filed under: uncultured bacterium
Lineage: Bacteria
Description: partial 16S ribosomal RNA
Rfam family: Bacterial small subunit ribosomal RNA
Source: RNAcentral
UGGGGAAUUUUGGACAAUGGGCGAAAGCCUGAUCCAGCAAUGCCGCGUGUGUGAAGAAGGCCUUCGGGUUGUAAAGCACUUUUGUCCGGAAAGAAAUCCUUGGCUCUAAUACAGUCGGGGGAUGACGGUACCGGAAGAAUAAGCACCGGCUAACUACGUGCCAGCAGCCGCGGUAAUACGUAGGGUGCAAGCGUUAAUCGGAAUUACUGGGCGUAAAGCGUGCGCAGGCGGUUUGCUAAGACCGAUGUGAAAUCCCGGGCUCAACCUGGGAACUGCAUUGGUGACUGGCAGGCUAGAGUAUGGCAGAGGGGGGUAGAAUUCCACGUGUAGCAGUGAAAUGCGUAGAGAUGUGGAGGAAUACCGAUGGCGAAGGCAGCCCCCUGGGCAAGUACUGACGCUCAUGCACG